Molecule: ribosomal RNA, 900 nt
Filed under: Triticum aestivum (bread wheat)
Lineage: Eukaryota; Viridiplantae; Streptophyta; Magnoliopsida; Poales; Poaceae
Description: partial small subunit ribosomal RNA
Source: RNAcentral
AUGGAUAUUAGAGUGAGCAAAUAUGCCCAUAAGCUGUUUAGUAUCCAGCAAAAUGCCUUUAUUAAAGGGAGACAUAUUGUUGAUGGUAUUCUCUCCUUGCAAGAAGUGUUGCAUUAUACUCAUAUCAAAAAACAAGUGGGGGUGGUCCUUAAGCUCGAUUUUGAAAAAGUUUACGACAAAGUUAACUGGGACUUUUUGCUGGAUUGCCAUGAAAAGCGUGGGUUUAAUUCUAAGUGGUGUGGGUGGGUAUCUCAAAUCCUUAAGAAUGGCACGGUGAGUGUCAAGAUCAACGAUGAGAUAGGCCCUUAUAUUCAAAGUGCUAAAGGGGUGCGGCAAGGCGACCCUCAUUCACCCUUUCUGUUUAAUAUUGCGGCAGAAUGCCUGACAAAGAUGGUGCUCUCAGCACAAAAAAAUGGUCUCAUCAAGGGUUUGGUUGCUGAUCUUAUUGAAGGAGGAGUGGGUAUCCUUCAAUAUGCGGAUGACACGGUGGUUUGUUUUGAACAUGAUAUUGAUAAUGCUAUCAAUGUCAAACUUCUGUUAUAUCUCUUUGAGCUCAUGUCAGGAUUGAAAAUCAAUUUUCACAAAAGUGAGGUUUCCACUAUAGGAGGGGACAAUGAGAUUGACCAAAUAUAUGCAGACAUGUUUAACUGUCAAGUGGGCACACUGCCCAUGAGAUAUUUGGGUGUCCCUGUCACAUAUUCUGCUCUUAAGAACAUACAGCUGGAUUUCCUGGAGGGUAAGAUGAUUAAAAUAUUGGAUGCUUGGAUUGCUUAUGCUGUAUCAUCAGGAGCCAGGCUCACUUUGUUAGGAUCCAACUUGGAUGGGAUUCCAUCUUAUCUUAUGUCGAUGUUCCUUUUCAAUAAAACUUUUGUUGAAAAAAUGAAUAAACAUCGCAGAUGA